CCUACGGGAGGCAGCAGUGAGGAAUCUUGGACAAUGGACGAGAGCCUGAACCAGCAAAGUAGCGUGGAGGAUGACUGCCCUCUGGGUGGUAAACUUCUUUUAUAUGGGAAUAAAAUGUUCCACGUGUGGGAUUAUGUAUGUACCAUAUGAAUAAGGAUCGGCUAACUCCGUGCCAGCAGCCGCGGUAAUACGGAGUAUACGAGCGUUAUCCGGAUGUAUUGGGUUGAACGGGAGCGUAGGUGGAUUGUUAAGUCAGUUGUGAAAGUUUGCGGCUCAACCGGAGAAGUGCAGUUGAAACGGGCAGUCUUGAGUACAGUAGAGGUGGGUGGAACUCGUGGUGUAGCGGUGAAAUGCUUAGAUAUCACGAAGAACUCCGGUUGCGAAGGCAGCUCACUGGACUGCAACUGACACUGAGGCUCGAAAGUGUGGGUAUCAAACAGGAUUAGAUACCCUUGUAGUC
RNAcentral lists this ribosomal RNA (460 nucleotides) under uncultured bacterium. RNAcentral describes it as "partial 16S ribosomal RNA". It matches the Rfam family "Bacterial small subunit ribosomal RNA", at positions 338 to 795 of the family's 1533-position model. The record is from RNAcentral.